UCAACCGAGAUUCCCCCAGUAGCGGCGAGCGAACGGGGAGGAGCCCAGAGCCUGAAUCAGCAUGUGUGUUAGUGGAAGCGUCUGGAAAGGCGCGCGAUACAGGGUGACAGCCCCGUACACAAAAGCGCAUGUGCUGUGAGCUCGAUGAGUAGGGCGGGACACGUGGUAUCCUGUCUGAAUAUGGGGGGACCAUCCUCCAAGGCUAAAUACUCCUGACUGACCGAUAGUGAACCAGUACCGUGAGGGAAAGGCGAAAAGAACCCCGGCGAGGGGAGUGAAAAAGAACCUGAAACCGUGUACGUACAAGCAGUGGGAGCACAGGUUUACCUGUGUGACUGCGUACCUUUUGUAUAAUGGGUCAGCGACUUAUAUUCUGUAGCAAGGUUAACCGAAUAGGGGAGCCGGAGGGAAACCGAGUCUUAAUUGGGCGUUAAGUUGCAGGGUAUAGACCCGAAACCCGGUGAUCUAGCCAUGGGCAGGUUGAAGGUUGGGUAACACUAACUGGAGGACCGAACCGACUAAUGUUGAAAAAUUAGCGGAUGACCUGUGGCUGGGGGUGAAAGGCCAAUCAAACCGGGAGAUAGCUGGUUCUCCCCGAAAGCUAUUUAGGUAGCGCCUCGUGAAUUCAUCUCCGGGGGUAGAGCACUGUUUCGGCUAGGGGGCCAUCCCGGCUUACCAACCCGAUGCAAACUGCGAAUACCGGAGAAUGUUAUCACGGGAGACACACGGCGGGUGCUAACGUCCGUCGUGAAGAGGGAAACAACCCAGACCGCCAGCUAAGGUCCCAAAGUCAUGGUUAAGUGGGAAACGAUGUGGGAAGGCCCAGACAGCCAGGAUGUUGGCUUAGAAGCAGCCAUCAUUUAAAGAAAGCGUAAUAGCUCACUGGUCGAGUCGGCCUGCGCGGAAGAUGUAACGGGGCUAAACCAUGCACCGAAGCUGCGGCAGCGAC
This 949-nucleotide ribosomal RNA is filed under the name Salmonella enterica subsp. enterica serovar Dublin. RNAcentral's name for it is "partial 23S ribosomal RNA". It matches the Rfam family "Bacterial large subunit ribosomal RNA", at positions 225 to 1212 of the family's 2925-position model. Lineage: Bacteria; Pseudomonadati; Pseudomonadota; Gammaproteobacteria; Enterobacterales; Enterobacteriaceae. The record is from RNAcentral.